RNAcentral lists this ribosomal RNA (253 nucleotides) under uncultured bacterium. RNAcentral's name for it is "partial 16S ribosomal RNA". It matches the Rfam family "Bacterial small subunit ribosomal RNA", at positions 524 to 776 of the family's 1533-position model. The record is from RNAcentral.
GACGUAGGGCGCGAGCGUUGUCCGGAUUUAUUGGGCGUAAAGAGCUCGUAGGCGGCUUGUCGCGUCGACCGUGAAAACUUGGGGCUCAACUCCAAGCCUGCGGUCGAUACGGGCAGGCUAGAGUUCGGUAGGGGAGACUGGAAUUCCUGGUGUAGCGGUGAAAUGCGCAGAUAUCAGGAGGAACACCGGUGGCGAAGGCGACACGCUGGGCCGUACCUGACGCUAAAGCGCGACAGCAUGGGGAGCAAACGGG